GCCUGUUUUGGCAAUGGCAUCUGCCUUAAACCGCUCAAUUGAGCUGAUGAUACCUACUUAAAG
RNAcentral lists this non-coding RNA (63 nucleotides) under Bacteroides luti. RNAcentral's name for it is "Fluoride sequence". It matches the Rfam family "Fluoride riboswitch aptamer (crcB RNA motif)". The record is from Rfam by way of RNAcentral. Lineage: Bacteria; Pseudomonadati; Bacteroidota; Bacteroidia; Bacteroidales; Bacteroidaceae.